This is a non-coding RNA of Paramuricea clavata, 317 nucleotides long. The record is from the annotation of a GenBank genome assembly. NCBI's taxonomy places the organism in Eukaryota, Metazoa, Cnidaria, Anthozoa, Malacalcyonacea, Plexauridae.
UUUGGUCGGAUAGAACCGAAACCCAAAAGAUUUGUGUUUCAUUCAACGAUUUGACGUUCUGACCGGUCUGGUCGUAUUAAUGGAAAGCGCCCGUAGUGUAGAUCCCCCGCGUGAAGCAUGCAUGGGAGAUAGUUUUUCCGGAAAUGAACCAAAGUAUGGAUAUAGAUUAUAGGAUGUUAUAGAUAUGUUAAUAUUGAUCGCAUAAUAAGUAUAUAUAGUAAGAUUUAAGGAUUAAGUACUGAAGCUAGUUUUUGAGGAACUGAGUUAAUUAUUGUUCCUGGUGUACGAAUAUACAGUUCGUAACAGUCUGAACGCCA